This is a long non-coding RNA of Alosa sapidissima (American shad), 325 nucleotides long. RefSeq lists it as uncharacterized. The transcript has 3 exons. The record is from RefSeq and is a predicted model, not a curated record. NCBI's taxonomy places the organism in Eukaryota, Metazoa, Chordata, Actinopteri, Clupeiformes, Clupeidae.
GGAUUUAUUGAAUGUCCAACCUGGCAUUUGCAAAUAUAUUGGAGGGACACCAUGGACAUGUGGCAUAUGAUGGACAUAUCUCCGAAAGACAAAGUAUUACCAAAAGGUUACAUGAAGCAUGCAUUUCUCUGCACUCCUCCCACAGUCGAGACUUAGCCUGGGACAGGCUCACAACAGCCAGAAUGGAACAUGCAGCACAAGGUUAAACGCAACCCUAAAUUAAUGAAUCUCGUUAAUGCUUUAAAUACCCAUCCAAUAACAUGGACUGCUGUGCUGUUUUAUCUUGCUCUGCACAUGGGCGGGAGCCAGCCAGGGCAACACAGUG